RNAcentral lists this ribosomal RNA (447 nucleotides) under uncultured bacterium. Its description in RNAcentral is "partial 16S ribosomal RNA". It matches the Rfam family "Bacterial small subunit ribosomal RNA", at positions 29 to 523 of the family's 1533-position model. The record is from RNAcentral.
AACGAACGCUGGCGGCAGGCUUAACACAUGCAAGUCGAGCGCCCCGCAAGGGGAGCGGCAGACGGGUGAGUAACGCGUGGGAAUCUACCGUGCCCUACGGAAUAGCUCCGGGAAACUGGAAUUAAUACCGUAUACGCCCUACGGGGGAAAGAUUUAUCGGGGUAUGAUGAGCCCGCGUUGGAUUAGCUAGUUGGUGGGGUAAAGGCCUACCAAGGCGACGAUCCAUAGCUGGUCUGAGAGGAUGAUCAGCCACAUUGGGACUGAGACACGGCCCAAACUCCUACGGGAGGCAGCAGUGGGGAAUAUUGGACAAUGGGCGCAAGCCUGAUCCAGCCAUGCCGCGUGAGUGAUGAAGGUCUUAGGAUUGUAAAGCUCUUACACCGGGGACGAUAAUGACGGUACCCGGAGAAGAAGCCCCGGCUAACUUCGUGCCAGCCGCCGCCGUAA